Molecule: non-coding RNA, 1048 nt
Organism: Pelobates cultripes (western spadefoot toad)
Lineage: Eukaryota; Metazoa; Chordata; Amphibia; Anura; Pelobatidae
Source: the annotation of a GenBank genome assembly
CACCUGCACCUUAAAGUGAUUGUUUAUGUAAUUCAUUUACUUUCUUUAUUUGUGUCCUCUUGGUUAUUGGUGCUUUUUAUGUUGAAUCUUUUGUAGUUAUAGUUUACAUUAUUUAAUUUAUCAAUAUAUACAACAUACGGUUAGAAUGGCAUUUGGAUAACAGAGCAUUGUCGGUGAGAAUAUAUAGAUAUGUGUGUGUGUGUGUAUAUUUAUGUGUGUGUGUGUGUGUAUAUAUAUAUAUAACCAAGAGGGCUGAAAUCGCCUGAACAUGCAUACAUUAUAGGGUGCUGCUGGGGUCAAUAUAUACAACAUACAAAAUACAGAAUCCAGCGCAGUCGCUUAUUCACUAAACAAUGAUUUCAAAUCUCACAGAUUGUAAUAGUUUUAUUUAAAAACACCUCACCUAGGCAAAAAAUAAUGGGGGUUUAGCUACAUUAUAUGAUCAAAUAUUGCAUAAGCCUGCCAUUAUAGGCAUUAGGCUGCUAGAGUAGGACCUGCCAAGAAUGGGGUACAUUGACUUUGUGGCAGGCUUAUAUGUGAUUGUGCAUUUUGUUUAUAUAUAUAUAUCUCACGCAGACCAGGAAGCAGAAUGUAGAAUAUUGAUAUUCUAUGUUUCUGUUGAUUAUGUAUAGAUGUCUGGAUUGACAUAAGUAACAGAAUUAAUAACUCACAAGGCUUUCGUUGUCUGAGAACUCUGGAAUGUGGAUUGGGGGUCUUGUCCUUAUAUGGCUAGAGUUAUACUCUGACGUCAGCAUGGGUACAUCUAUAUAGUAACCGAACAAAGGGACAUGGCUCUUUUUCCUGUUCAGCUAUGUAACGAUAACUAUCCCUUCAGGAGUCCAGCAAUUACCAUCUGCUGUUUAACAUCCUUUGUUAUUUUAUUAUGUAUCAGUAACUCUAAGUGUAGACCUGAAGAAACCGUAACUCAGAUUGUGUAUUAGUACUUUUCAGUAAUAGAGACGUAUAUUAAUGUGGAGACAAAAGACAUAAAUAUAAAAUAAUUAUUCCAAUCAACCGGAAAAAGACACAGAUGAAACCAAGAUAUUAC